RNAcentral lists this ribosomal RNA (484 nucleotides) under uncultured bacterium. RNAcentral's name for it is "bacterial SSU rRNA". It matches the Rfam family "Bacterial small subunit ribosomal RNA", at positions 30 to 507 of the family's 1533-position model. The record is from RNAcentral.
AUUGAACGCUGGCGGCAUGCCUUACACAUGCAAGUCGAACGGCAGCACGGGAGCAAUCCUGGUGGCGAGUGGCGAACGGGUGAGUAAUAUAUCGGAACGUGCCCAGUCGUGGGGGAUAACGUAGCGAAAGCUACGCUAAUACCGCAUACGAUCUAUGGAUGAAAGCGGGGGAUCGCAAGACCUCGCGCGAUUGGAGCGGCCGAUAUCAGAUUAGGUAGUUGGUGGGGUAAAAGCCUACCAAGCCUUCGAUCUGUAGCUGGUCUGAGAGGACGACCAGCCACACUGGAACUGAGACACGGUCCAGACUCCUACGGGAGGCAGCAGUGGGGAAUUUUGGACAAUGGGCGCAAGCCUGAUCCAGCAAUGCCGCGUGCAGGAUGAAGGCCUUCGGGUUGUAAACUGCUUUUGUACGGAACGAAACGGUUCUCUCUAAUACAGGGGGCUAAUGACGGUACCGUAAGAAUAAGCACCGGCUAACUACGUG